AUUGAACGCUGGCGGCAUGCCUUACACAUGCAAGUCGAACGGUAACAGGUCUUCGGAUGCUGACGAGUGGCGAACGGGUGUGUAAUACAUCGGAACGUGCCUAGUAGUGGGGGAUAACUACUCGAAAGAGUGGCUAAUACCGCAUGAGAUCUACGGAUGAAAGCAGGGGAUCGCAAGACCUUGUGCUACUAGAGCGGCCGAUGGCAGAUUAGGUAGUUGGUGGGAUAAAAGCUUACCAAGCCGACGAUCUGUAGCUGGUCUGAGAGGACGAUCAGCCACACUGGGACUGAGACACGGCCCAGACUCCUACGGGAGGAAGCAGUGGGGAAUUUUGGACAAUGGGCGAAAGCCUGAUCCAGCAAUGCCGCGUGCAGGAUGAAGGCCUUCGGGUUGUGAACUGCUUUUGUACGGAACGAAAAGCCCCGGGUUAAUACCCUGGGGUCAUGACGGUACCGUAAGAAUAAGCACCGGCUAACUACGUGCCAGCCGCCGCGGUAA
This 498-nucleotide ribosomal RNA is filed under the name uncultured bacterium. RNAcentral describes it as "partial 16S ribosomal RNA". It matches the Rfam family "Bacterial small subunit ribosomal RNA", at positions 30 to 523 of the family's 1533-position model. The record is from RNAcentral.